RNAcentral lists this transfer RNA (73 nucleotides) under Camelus bactrianus (Bactrian camel). It matches the Rfam family "tRNA". Rfam says of the family: Transfer RNA (tRNA) molecules are approximately 80 nucleotides in length. Their secondary structure includes four short double-helical elements and three loops (D, anti-codon, and T loops). RNAcentral also lists the same sequence under 3 other names. The record is from Rfam by way of RNAcentral. Lineage: Eukaryota; Metazoa; Chordata; Mammalia; Artiodactyla; Camelidae.
GAGGGUAUAGCUCAAGUGGUAGAGUGCAUGCUUAGCAUGCAUGAGGUCCUGGGUUCAAUCCCCAGUACUUCCU